This 29-nucleotide non-coding RNA is filed under the name Rattus norvegicus (Norway rat). The record is from RNAcentral. Lineage: Eukaryota; Metazoa; Chordata; Mammalia; Rodentia; Muridae.
UAUGAAGUAGCAACAAAAUAAUUUUAAGG